ACGGCAUUCCCCCCGGAGGUCAUCAAAACACUGCAUUCUUACGUCGGAGUAUAAAGUUAAUUUAAUAAAACUUUCAACAACGGAUCUCUUGGUUCUGGCAUCGAUGAAGAACGCAGCGAAAUGCGAUAAGUAAUGUGAAUUGCAGAAUUCAGUGAAUCAUCGAAUCUUUGAACGCACAUUGCGCCCCCUGGUAUUCCGGGGGGCAUGCCUGUUCGAGCGUCAUUUCACCACUCAAGCCUCGCUUGGUAUUGGGCGUCGCGAGUCUCUCGCGCGCCUCAAAGUCUCCGGCUAGGCGGUUCGUCUCCCAGCGUUGUGGCAACUAUUCGCAGAGGAGUUCGAGUCGUCGUGGCCGUUAAAUCUUUCAAAGGUUGACCUCGGAUCAGGUAGGGAUACCCGCUGAACUUAAGCAUAUCAAUAAGCGGAGGAAA
Molecule: ribosomal RNA, 428 nt
Filed under: fungal sp. NLR-2013
Lineage: Eukaryota; Fungi
Description: eukaryotic LSU rRNA
Rfam family: 5.8S ribosomal RNA (bases 69-222)
Source: RNAcentral